GGCCGCGGCAGCUGGGAUGGGAGCGGCCGCGGUGUGAGCUGAGCGGCGGCCCAAAUGAGGGGAGCCCUGAAACCCCACGGUUGCACGGCCGUGUCCCGGGCUCGGCUCCUCCGCAGCUCCUGGCUGAAGCCCUCCGUGGCCAUCAAUAGUUUUCGGAGUUGGCUGCCGAGCCGUCGGCUCGCUGAGGGAUGCGGCCAGCCUGCUCGUGGUGAUGAUACCUGUGCAAAAAGUUGCUGUGAUCUCCUACUAAUCGUGAGCAUUCUCCUCUCAGAGCACCGGGUUGCUCUGCAGCGCUGAGAGCCACCUCCUCGCCUCCUGCACGGUGAUGUUUCUCAUUUCACGAAGUUGCUGCGGGACGAACCCGUCUGAGUGGUGCUUUGCUGAGUACGAGCUGCUAACCUUUGAAUCACUAACCAGGGAACCUGUAAAAUUUCAAAACAGCAGAGAUCUGCAGAGAAGAUAGGGCGAUGUCUGCAAUCUUGAAGUGCUGACAGCGCGUGAAUUGGCUCUUCCUGUCAGCCACCAGUUGCUGCAAACCCACAAAGAUCUCAUCUGCUUUUCACUUCCUCCCCAAGCCGGGCUCAGCGCUCCCCUGCCCAGCACCCCGACAGCUGCUCACCGGGCACCGCUCUGCAUCUGCUGCACCCGACGUCGCUCCGCUGCUCUGUGUCUGCUGUGCUCGGACCCACCGCCACCUCCCACAUCCCUGCCACCGUGUCACCGUGCUGUGUCCCCGCCGCGUGACCCCCCCAGCACUGAUCUCGCGGAGUACAACCCCACAUCCACGCAGUCUCCCGCUGCUCUGCUGCUGCUCUGCCUUCUCCCAGAGUUGCCCCAGUGAGGAGACCUGUGCUGGGAGACGUUCUCCCCUGCAGUUUAUUGUCCUAAGUAUUGUCAUCUUUGGGGACCGGCGUUGCACCAAGGAAGUCUGCAAGCUGGGUGCCCCCCAGGUGUGGCUGGCUUAUAGAAAUCCUGAUCAGAGACAUUAAAUUCUGACUUUUGGUGUGGGUCGGGACAGCAAAUGGUACGCACGUGUGCCAUAGGAACCGGCACAAAGCAGAAGUGAGUGUGUGGCAGCCAGGGGAUGGAGGCACAACGUGAA
Molecule: long non-coding RNA, 1102 nt
Organism: Gallus gallus (chicken)
Lineage: Eukaryota; Metazoa; Chordata; Aves; Galliformes; Phasianidae
Source: Ensembl